RNAcentral lists this unclassified non-coding RNA (331 nucleotides) under soil metagenome. RNAcentral describes it as "partial contains 5.8S ribosomal RNA, internal transcribed spacer 2, and large subunit ribosomal RNA". The stretch from base 1 to 120 matches the Rfam family "5.8S ribosomal RNA", at positions 35 to 154 of the family's 154-position model. The record is from RNAcentral.
GAUGAAGAACGCAGCGAAAUGCGAUAAGUAAUGUGAAUCGCAGAAUUCAGUGAAUCAUCGAAUCUUUGAACGCACAUUGCGCCCGCUAGUAUUCUGGCGGGCAUGCCUGUUCGAGCGUCAUUUCAACCAUCAAGCCCCAGGCUUGUGUUGGGGGCCUGCGGCUGCCGCAGCCCCUGAAAAGCAGUGGCGGGCUCGCUGUCAUUCCGAGCGCAGUAGUUACAUCUCGCUCCGGGCGUGGCGGUGGGCACCUGCCGUGAAACACUCCUUCUAAGGUUGACCUCGGAUCAGGUAGGAAUACCCGCUGAACUUAAGCAUAUCAAUAAGCGGAGGA